AUUGAACGCUGGCGGCAUGCUUUACACAUGCAAGUCGAACGGCAGCGGGGAGGAGCUUGCUUCUCUGCCGGCGAGUGGCGAACGGGUGAGUAAUACAUCGGAACGUGUCGAGAAGAGGGGGAUAACCACCCGAAAGGGUGGCUAAUACCGCAUAAAUUCUGAGGAAGAAAGCUGGGGACCUGGGUAUAGGCCUAGCGCUUGUUGAGCGGCCGAUGUCGGAUUAGCUAGUUGGUGAGGUAGAGGCUCACCAAGGCGAAGAGCUGUAGGGGGUCUGAGAGGAUGAUCCGCCACACGGGCACUGAGACACGGCCCAGACUCCUACGGGAGGCAGCAGUGGGGAAUUUUAGACAAUGGGGGCAACCCUGAUCCAGCCAUGCCGCGUGUAUGAAGAAGGCCUUAGGGUUGUAAAGUACUUUUGUUAGGGAAGAAAAGUCAGCUGUGAAUAAUGGCUGAUACUGACGGUACCUAAAGAAUAAGCACCGGCUAACUACGUG
Molecule: ribosomal RNA, 494 nt
Filed under: uncultured bacterium
Lineage: Bacteria
Description: partial 16S ribosomal RNA
Rfam family: Bacterial small subunit ribosomal RNA
Source: RNAcentral